GGGAUCAUGGAUUAAUGGUAAAUCACUCGCGUUGCAUGCGAGGUAUAUCGGUUCAAUUCCGAUUGAUUCCA
This is a non-coding RNA of Candida albicans SC5314, 71 nucleotides long. The record is from Rfam. Lineage: Eukaryota; Fungi; Ascomycota; Pichiomycetes; Serinales; Debaryomycetaceae.